This 1536-nucleotide long non-coding RNA is filed under the name Papio anubis (olive baboon). RNAcentral's name for it is "lncRNA (ENSPANG00000045274.1)". Lineage: Eukaryota; Metazoa; Chordata; Mammalia; Primates; Cercopithecidae. The record is from RNAcentral.
ACCUCUUCACUCUUAUUCUGGAAGCUCUAGGAGAGGAAACUGGGGUUGGCGACACCUGGUCCCACAUUUAAUAUGAAGUUCUGAAGUUGGAACCUGGUGGGUGGGCCUCUACCAGGUCCCGUCUCAGAUGAAGUUCUGCCAUUGGAACCUGGGGUUGGUGAACACCUGGGUCCCACGUCUCAGAUGAAGUUCUGGGAUUUGGGGCCUGGGUUGGUAGACACCUGAUCCCGUCUCAGAUGAAGUUCUGCCAUUUGGAACCUGGGGUUGGUGAACCUCUGGGUCCCACGUCUCAGAUGAAGUUCUGCCAUUGGAACCUGGGAGUUGGUGAACACGUGAGUCCCACGUCUCAGAUGAAGUUCUGCCAUUGGAACCUGGAGUUGGUGAACACCUGAGUCCCACGUCUCAGAUGGGGUUUAACCAUUUGGAACCUGGGGUUGGUAGACACCUGGUCCACAUUUUCAGAUGGAGGAUUCUGGGAUUGGAGACCUGGGGUGGUGAACCUCUGGGUCCCCACGUCUCAGGCCAGGAUUCUGGGAUUGGAACCUGGGAGUUGGUGAACGCUGCACGAAUCCACAUUUCAGAUGAAGUUCUGGGAUUGGAACCUGGGGUGGGUGAACACCUGAGUCCCACGUCUCAGAUGAAGUUCUGCCAUUGGAACCUGGGGUUGGUGAACACCUGGUCUUUUGUCUGCUAGAAACACAGGGAGACUAGAACCCAGCCUGUAGGAGAGAUACUGAAAUACGACGGGGACACCUGCCAUCCUGCCACAAUCAAGUCCAUCGUUCUGGCUUUCCCAAGGCAUAGCCCCUUGCUGUCCAAGUUUUGUGUUACUCAGCUGCUUCUCUGUUGGGGGGAGGUGGUGUCAUUUCUGUCCUUCACAAGCAGGGCUUUCCGGCUGCCGUGCUCCUCAGGCUCAUUUGGAACUCUCCCCUGCACUGCCAGCCUUUGUUGCUUGGUGGAGCUACCGUUUAUCACACUGUUUCCUGAGGAAAACGUCUUUCAAGUACCAAGUACAUCUCACAAAUAAACCUAGAGCAUGACUUAUGUGGUUUAUAGGUGGAAUUACACCGAUGAUCAGGAAGUUGCCUUAGAAACAAAAUGUUAAAAACAAUGAAAAAUAAAAUAGAAACACUAUGUUGCAUUUGGAGUUUGGUGAUUUGCAUAUUUAUGAAGUUCUGCAAUUUGAAAAAAUAUUUCUCUUCUUUCCUGGGUGUCUAUUUGGAAUACAUUGUCAUGUGUCAAAAUCAAGGCAAUCAGAACCAAGGUUGCCAGCCUGCGACAGCCGUUCUCGAUGGCCUCGGUUACAAUGCUGAGAUGACUUAUUAUUCAUAGAUUCAUCUAAAGAUAAGAUUGGAAAUAAUUUAUCUAGUAUCCGUGUGAAUUGCAUUUAUUUUAAAGGUUGUUGCAUAGGAAGCUUAAACAUACCCAGCAAAUUAUGCCGGGGGAAGUUUUCCUCAAAUCUUUCUAAACCCAGAAUGCUUGUCUGUUUAAAUCUCUUGGACGGGUUUUUCUUUCAAUCACUCCAGUAUUUGGAGA